CCGCACGCGGUUUUUUCACGGUCUUGUACGCCCUUCUUAUGCCCACGAUCGAUCUGUCUGAAGCCCACCCACGUCCGUCUCUCCCACUUCCCUACGUCUUCCUAGCCGCAGCCGCCGUCCAGGCCGAAGCCGCCGAUCUCCUCUCCCACUUCCUCUCUCUCCCCGUUCCUUCAAAACUAUCAGAUCUUCCACUUUCACGGACGAAGCACCCGAUCAUCUCCCACUUCCGCACUACUGCGUGAACGCCCUGGACACCGAAAACCACCAGCUCCUCGCCUCCUCCUCGGUGCUGUCGCUGCACUUCCGCUGAUGGCAAUGCAACACUUGCUCGGCUGCUCCCCGUGCCUUUGCGCCACCGAUGGUUUAUACUACUGUUGGGUACGGGAGGUACGCAGCCUUCGCCAGUGUCGGUGUGCCACCAACGACGAGCCAGUGCACCGACCUGGACGGAAGGCGGCUGUUCAGGCAGGUGGCGACAUUUAUCUCCACCGGCGCGACCUCCAGGGUUGUGCGGUGACAGCGCGAUCACUUCCGACCAGGAUGUUUUGCUUCCUUCCUCUAUCCGACUCAGACUCUUCUAUUGGCCAGGUCCGUCACAUAUUUGUUCUUGUUGUUCGUCUACAGGAAAGGGACAGGAGGGGGAUGACAGGAAGGGGCGUGAGAACACUUGUUUGUGGUUGCUUCUUGAUCUGGUAUGGAGAGAAAGAUAGAGAGAGAGGAUGGAUACUUGCAAAAGUGCCCAUCUAAUCCUAUUUUUGUCAGAGAUAGAUGGAUUUGACAUAAGCAAUACAAAAUCUCCACUCCUAAUUCUGCUGACCUUUCGACGAUGUGAACAUAUUUGGAGCGUGUUGUCCUGAUUUCACACCACCAUAUGUGUUCUACGCAGUAUGCACGGUGGAAAAGCUCACCUAUGAGCGAGGGAAAACAAAGGAUGGCGGUGGAAGUGAGGCGACAACAUCUGGCCGUGGAACUAGGAAAAGCCGGCAACACUGGUAUUAUGUCAGUACGUGGUGUUACGCUUAGCCGGCCAGUGUUCAAAUCUGCAAGUACCUGACGCCUUAUGCUACUAUGGCGAUUGUUCAACUACGUAGUUGCCAGCACUGCACGAAUUCAGAAAUGAAGUAUUCUGGUUUAACCAUCUGAGUUUUACAUUAUGUAUGUGUUGUGAGACCCAACACUGAUUUUGGGG
Long non-coding RNA from Triticum aestivum (bread wheat), 1189 nucleotides. RefSeq lists it as uncharacterized. Lineage: Eukaryota; Viridiplantae; Streptophyta; Magnoliopsida; Poales; Poaceae. The transcript has 3 exons. The record is from RefSeq and is a predicted model, not a curated record.